UCAAGAACAUUCGACAAUGGGCGAAAGCCUGAUCGAGCGACGCCGCGUGCAGGAAGAAGGCCUUCGGGUUGUAAACUGCUUUUGCCAGGGAAGAAUUUUGACGGUACCUGGCGAAUAAGGGGUUGCUAACUCUGUGCCAGCAGCAGCGGUAAUACAGAGACCCCGAGCGUUAUCCGGAAUUACUGGGCGUAAAGCGCAAGUAGUCGGUUGUGUUAGUCUUGUGUUAAAUCUCACCGCCCAACGGUGAGGCCGCACGGGAAACGGCACGACUAGAGCAAGUCAGGGGUAUGCGGAACGUGUGGUGUAGCGGUGAAAUGCAUUGAUAUCGCACGGAACACCAAAAGCGAAAGCAGCAUACUGGGGCUUUGCUGACGAUCAGUUGCGAAAGCGUGGGGAUCAAAAAGG
This 405-nucleotide ribosomal RNA is filed under the name uncultured bacterium. Its description in RNAcentral is "bacterial SSU rRNA". It matches the Rfam family "Bacterial small subunit ribosomal RNA", at positions 355 to 776 of the family's 1533-position model. The record is from RNAcentral.